RNAcentral lists this long non-coding RNA (660 nucleotides) under Podarcis muralis (Common wall lizard). RNAcentral describes it as "lncRNA (ENSPMRG00000017265.1)". The record is from RNAcentral. Lineage: Eukaryota; Metazoa; Chordata; Lepidosauria; Squamata; Lacertidae.
CAGAAUAAGACAAUGGGUAUGGACAGCAACUGUUGCUUGGUGGGGCAAGUGGGAGCAGUCCUCUCAUGCAGCAGAUGAAAGCUUGAGUGGGAUUGACCAAUGGGUCUGAAUAGGUGUAAGGCAGCUUCUGGUGCCUUUAGCACAGCAACAUCAUUGCAGCGUCUUGGACAAACACUGGGUGGGAUAUCUGCAUGCACCAAACAGCCACUGCCAUCAUUAACUCUGAGUAUAUCUUCCCCUUCCAGUUCCUUUCACGUGUGGUGUUCAAAGAAAUACGAGGGUGGUGCGGCUCCUGCGGAAGAAAACGAGGGUCAGACAUCACUCUUGAGUAGGCAUGUUCUGGGGCCAUAAGUCAUGGUAAGUCUACUUCUCAAGCCCCUGGUGUUACUUAGUAGGUCAUCUCCUGCUUUCUGCUCUCGUUGGGACCUCAUGGUCAAAGGUUUCAUCACUCCUUCCUUGGCCUUCUGCCACCUCUGUUAGAAUAAGCGAGGCUGUUGUACUCUGGUGGUGGAACUGGUGUUCAUGGGAACUUAGAAGGAGCCAAGAGAGCCCUAAGCAAUCCACUGAGUUUCCACGGGUUUUCACACUUCUUUCUUGUGAGUCUGCAUUUCUGUGGUCACCUCUGAAGAUCCUCUAUUCCCAACUUCUUGACUGAUUUUU